AUCUAACUGACGAGUUCCGAAUAGGACGAAACGCGCAUCUUAGAU
This 45-nucleotide non-coding RNA is filed under the name Schistosoma curassoni. The record is from RNAcentral. Lineage: Eukaryota; Metazoa; Platyhelminthes; Trematoda; Strigeidida; Schistosomatidae.